GAUGAACGCUGGCGGCGUGCCUAAUACAUGCAAGUCGAGCGAACGGACGAGAAGCUUGCUUCUCUGAUGUUAGCGGCGGACGGGUGAGUAACACGUGGAUAACCUACCUAUAAGACUGGGAUAACUUCGGGAAACCGGAGCUAAUACCGGAUAAUAUUUUGAACCGCAUGGUUCAAAAGUGAAAGACGGUCUUGCUGUCACUUAUAGAUGGAUCCGCGCUGCAUUAGCUAGUUGGUAAGGUAACGGCCUACCAAGGCAACGAUGCAUAGCCGACCUGAGAGGGUGAUCGGCCACACUGGAACUGAGACACGGUCCAGACUCCUACGGGAGGCAGCAGUAGGGAAUCUUCCGCAAUGGGCGAAAGCCUGACGGAGCAACGCCGCGUGAGUGAUGAAGGUCUUCGGAUCGUAAAACUCUGUUAUUAGGGAAGAACAUAUGUGUAAGUAACUAUGCACGUCUUGACGGUACCUAAUCAGAAAGCCACGGCUAACUACGUG
This 497-nucleotide ribosomal RNA is filed under the name uncultured bacterium. Its description in RNAcentral is "partial 16S ribosomal RNA". It matches the Rfam family "Bacterial small subunit ribosomal RNA", at positions 28 to 507 of the family's 1533-position model. The record is from RNAcentral.